Molecule: long non-coding RNA, 1038 nt
Organism: Zophobas morio
Lineage: Eukaryota; Metazoa; Arthropoda; Insecta; Coleoptera; Tenebrionidae
Exons: 3
Source: RefSeq, a predicted model, not a curated record
AGUGCACGUCACUAGACAUAAAGGAAGUGUGAAUAAUAUAUACGAUAAAAUUAUUUAUGAAAACAAAUUUCCACUUAAAUCAGAAUGCAGUGUAGAAAGUUAAAUAGUUCUAUAAGUGGUUUACUUACGUUAAUUAUUUUCAUGCACAAACACACUCAUGGUUUGAAAUGCUAUGUCACAAAUAUCAGUCGUCAAAACGUAAACAGCGGAAACACAAUAAAAACGGGGUUUGUUUUACAAGAGUGUACAAAGUAUAUACAAAAUGCAUUCAAAAUCCAAGGCGAACGGCACGUGAAAUUACCAUCUAACAUAGAAUACAACUGCCACACAAUUUAUAUUCACACAGAUGCAGCAGAUAUUAAAACGAAAGGAUGUGUUCCAAGAGAUGGUUGCAAGUCGAUGACAAAAUCUAUAAAGCAGAUGGUACUAGCGAAAUCUCCUCUUUUAAAAGCUAAAAAUAUCACCUGCAUUGAGUGUUCCUCAGACCGUUGCAAUGAUGACCACAUCCCAUCUUCUGUUCGUAUUGGCAGUCAACUGAUGGAUGACAGCAAUUCGUCUCAUCAUAAUUUUAUAAAUUUUUUAUUAACAUUAGCUCCGUUGGCAAUACUUGUUGGGACACACAACUGAACGAAAUAAAAAAAAAAUGUUAUGUGAGACGUUAAGAAAUUGCCGUUACUUACCACGUAAUUAAUAGCUCAUUUUCUUAACGUAUAGUGCUCCAACGAAGACAGUGGGUUCAUGGUUUUGAAUUUUCCAAGCCUCUCGUUUGCGAACAAAGAGAAUCUUAAAUUAAAGCUAAAGAUAAGACAUGUCCUGUUUAGGAGAAGCGUGCCAGUCAAAUACACCGAAAAGCCGCUUUUAAUUUUAAGCUGCAUCAUUUGUUGUCAAGGUGGGGGAGUCAAAAUCGUAAAACCACUCCUCUCGUUGAUCCAUUAUAAUCAUUACCCACAUGUAUUUACAGAGGUAUAAAAAUAUGAUAAGCACACAAAUAUCUCUGUAAGGAAACAAUUUUCGUUAAUAAAUAGGAGUAUAAAUUUA